UGGAUCGGAGACAGGUGCUGCGAUGGCUGUCGUCAGCUCGUGUCGUGAGAUGUUGGUUAAGUCCGCAACGAGCGCAACCCUUAUUGCCAGUUACCAUUCAUUUAGUUGGGGACUCUGGCGAGACUGCCGUGGAUAACACGGAGGGAAGGUGGGACGACGUCAAAUCAUCAUGCCCCUUAUGUCCUGGGCUACACACGUACUACAAUGGCAACAACAACGAGCAGCAAGUCCGCGAGGCCAAGCGAAUCUCCAAAUGUUGUCCCAGUUCAGAUUGCAGGCUGCAACUCGCCUGCAUGAAGUCGGAAUUGCUAGUAAUGGCAGGUCAGCAUACUGCCGUGAAUACGUUCCCGGGCCUU
This 356-nucleotide ribosomal RNA is filed under the name uncultured Fastidiosipila sp. Its description in RNAcentral is "bacterial SSU rRNA". It matches the Rfam family "Bacterial small subunit ribosomal RNA", at positions 1024 to 1382 of the family's 1533-position model. Lineage: Bacteria; Bacillati; Bacillota; Clostridia; Eubacteriales; Oscillospiraceae. The record is from RNAcentral.